GAAAUGCGAUAAGUAGUGUGAAUUGCAGAAUUCAGUGAAUCAUCGAAUCUUUGAACGCACAUUGCGCCCUAUGGUAUUCCGUAGGGCAUGCCUGUUCGAGCGUCAUUUACACCUUCAAGCCUUGCUUGGUGUUGGGUGACUGUGGCCCCUUUGGGGCCACUCGCCUUAAAGUCAUUGGCGGCCGGUUCGUUGGCUUUGUAGCGCAGCACAAUUGCGUCCUCGACGCCGCUGGACCAGCUCCCAGAAGCUAAUUUUAAAUGUUUGACCUCGAAUCAGGUAGGGAUACCCGCUGAACUUAAGC
RNAcentral lists this unclassified non-coding RNA (301 nucleotides) under plant metagenome. Its description in RNAcentral is "partial contains 5.8S ribosomal RNA, internal transcribed spacer 2, and large subunit ribosomal RNA". The stretch from base 1 to 105 matches the Rfam family "5.8S ribosomal RNA", at positions 50 to 154 of the family's 154-position model. The record is from RNAcentral.